Molecule: unclassified non-coding RNA, 206 nt
Filed under: Hevea brasiliensis (rubber tree)
Lineage: Eukaryota; Viridiplantae; Streptophyta; Magnoliopsida; Malpighiales; Euphorbiaceae
Source: RNAcentral
CUGUCAUAGCGUUUCAAUAUGGAAAUCCAGAUACAUUGUGCUCUCCUCUUGUUGAAGCAAAGAAUGCGGGAAAUGACUUAGUGGAUGCCUUCGCCAAAUAUGUUAAAGAUUAUUUCAUUGGAAGUUUUGGCACUAAUGUUCAAACUUACAAUCAGAAACAUUUAAAAAACACCACUCCAGGUGAAGAUAGCGCGGACCGGUUGUGG